Molecule: ribosomal RNA, 468 nt
Filed under: uncultured bacterium
Lineage: Bacteria
Description: partial 16S ribosomal RNA
Rfam family: Bacterial small subunit ribosomal RNA
Source: RNAcentral
GACGAACGCUGGCGGUGUGCUUAACACAUGCAAGUCGAACGGCAAGGCCCUGCUUUUUUGGGGUUCUCGGGUGCCGAACGGGUGCGUAACACGUGAGUAACCUACCCUAGACUUUCGGAUAACUUCACGUAACUGGGCCUAAUCUCGGAUAGGAGCCCCCCCAGCAUUGAAGGGGGUGGAAAGUUUGAGCGGUCGGGGUUGGACUCGCGGCUUAUCGACUUGUUGGUGGGGUAGUUGCUUACCAAGGCUUUGACCGGUCGCCGGCCUGAGAGGGUGACCGGCCACAUGGCUACUGCGAGACGGCCCAGACUCCUACGUGAGGCAGCAGUGGGGAGUAUUACACAAUGAGACCAAGCCUGAUGCAGCAGCGUCGCGGGCGGAAUGACGGUCUUCGGGGUGUAAACCGCUGUCGCCUGUGACGAAGCGGGAGUGACGGUACUGGGUGAAGAAGCACCGGCUAACUACGUG